UGAACGCUGGCGGAGUGCCUAACACAUGCACGUCGAGCGGCAGCGCGAGUAGUUUACUACUUGGCGGCGAGCGGCGGACGGCUGAGUAACGCGUGGGAACAUGCCCCAAAGUGAGGAAUAACUGCCCGAAAGGGUAGCUAAUGCCGCAUAUGAUCUUCGGAUUAAAGGAUUUAUCCGCUUUGGGAGUGGCCUGCGUACGAUUAGAUAGUUGGUGAGGUAAAGGCUCACCAAGUCGACGAUCGUUAACUGGUUUGAGAGGAUGAUCAGUCAGACUGGAACUGAGACACGGUCCAGACUCCUACGGGAGGCAGCAGUGAGGAAUCUUCCACAAUGGGCGAAAGCCUGAUGGAGCAACUCCGCGUGCAGGAUGAAGGCCUUCGGGUUGUAAACUGCUUUUAUGAGUGAAGAAUAUGACGGUAACUCAUGAAUAAGGGUCGGCUAACUACGUG
RNAcentral lists this ribosomal RNA (449 nucleotides) under uncultured bacterium. RNAcentral describes it as "partial 16S ribosomal RNA". It matches the Rfam family "Bacterial small subunit ribosomal RNA", at positions 30 to 507 of the family's 1533-position model. The record is from RNAcentral.